AAUAAAAACACUCAGUGAGCAGGCGACACAAAUCAAUGAGACAUUAAAGUCCUCCAUCUACACCCAGUUCAUUAAGCCAUUCUUGUCUAGAAAAUUUCCAGGUGCGUUUUUAUUUAUUUUAUUGAUGCAUUAAAAAGUACUUACAAUUAUGCCUGUGAUUAAAUUAAUGAAAGCUUGAUCAUAAUAAAGCAAAAAUAAGCUAUUAUGCUCAUUGUAUCCCUGUUUAAGACAAUAUUCUUCACAUUUCCUCAAUAUUCUAUGUUAAAUCCAGAUGCUGCCUGUAAUUCUAACAAUAUGAGCAGCGCAGACUGGCUCAAUAGGAAUUUUGCUGAGUUCUUCAAGUAUGCUACCUUGAAGGACCUUCAAACUCUAAACAGAGACUUUUACAAUGUAAGUAGACAUUCAUACUUUCCAUUCACAGCAUUUAUUUCUUUAAUGUCAGAAUUGUUGAUAAAACUGCUGUUUAUAAUAUGAUUCAGUUUUUUUCAUCAUUACGACUGCUGAGCCCUACCCAAGUAGCUGAACUCACCCUGAGCUCUGGAGCGCUCAACAACACGGACCAGAUCGGUGCUAUGUUCCUCCGACUAGAGGAAGGCAACGCUUUUGUGAACGUGGAGGAGUUUCUGACAAAACUCAGUGCAGCUCCAGAGGUUCCGGACAUCAGCCCUGCUGUGAGCGACGUGAUGAUGAACCGCACCUUCACAAUCAUUGGAACCAAAUUCCACAAGUUUGAGACUCGGGAUUGGCUGGUGUGGUUCACCGUGAAUCUCAUUCCUAUCCUUCCCAGUUUCACCUCAGAGAUGCUGGUUAAGGUCACAGUUACAGUCAACUGCACCAACUACCGCGUGAUCGUUGAGGGACUUGGAAUGGUUUUCCAGAAAAUGACAUUGAGCAGGAGCCAUGAGAUAACCAGCAUUCUGGUGGAGCACCUGAAGGCUGCUUCUUCCCAAUUCAGUAUGCCAGGUUGCAGACAGAAAACUGAAAGCGUUACCCAAUGGCUCGACAGCAACUUGGGCCCAUUCUCCUCAUUGGCCAGUUACUCGGACCUCAAGGCCCUGAACAUCAGUGUGUUGGCAGCUCUGGGAUCCCUGUCACCUGAUCAGAAAGCAGAGCUGCUGUUGGAUCGGACCACCGGUGCUCUAGAAAACGUGACCGUGGUACAGGAGGUGAUGAUCAGCAUCCUGAACUCUUCAGAUGGGAAUCAGCUUGAGAUGUUCUUUGAAAAAUUUGUUGUAGUCUGCCACGAGGAAAAUAUUACCUUCAUUGCAAACGUGGCUGUACGAGACACAAUGCUGAAUCUGACCAUGACUGCCCUGGCUCCCAAACUUCCCCUAUUUGAAACAAGCGACUAUGAGCUGUGGUUCCAAACCAAUCUGGUGGUCCUGCUGGCCAGCUUCAGUCCUUCAGUGCUGGAGGUCAUCCCUGCCAACAUCACAUGCGAAUCUUACCAAGCAAUACUGGAAGGCAUGAAGAUAGCUUUGGCAGAUCUUCCGUCAGGAGUUGGAGUAGAGCUAAAUUCAAGUGUAGACACACUUCAACAUUCACCACCAAAAGGUAUGGCAUCAGUAAAGCUGCUGGAAUGCUUAGGCAGUGCCUGGGCGGUGAGAAAAGCCAACAAAUUGUGACCACAUGUAUUUGAAUAUGUCAGCGUCAUGAGAGUUGCCUCCCAUCGACCAAUAUCUCUUGUCUUGGCUUCUCUCUUUAGCCUGCACGACUCCACCACCCACCACACCCCCCACAGUGCCCCCCACCAUGCCAUCCACCACACCGUCCCCAGUACCACCCACUGCACCACCGACCGUGUCCCCCACCGCUGUUGUAAGUACUUCAUCUGGUGGCAUUAUGCCCAAGAUAAGCUCUUCCUAAUUCUUUUCUCUAAUUUUUGCUUUGUCUCACCUCUCACCAGUGCGAGGAAACAUUGAUCGAUGGUGAGUCGGAACAA
Long non-coding RNA from Danio rerio (zebrafish), 1942 nucleotides. Lineage: Eukaryota; Metazoa; Chordata; Actinopteri; Cypriniformes; Danionidae. The record is from Ensembl.